Molecule: signal recognition particle RNA, 117 nt
Filed under: Nomascus leucogenys (northern white-cheeked gibbon)
Lineage: Eukaryota; Metazoa; Chordata; Mammalia; Primates; Hylobatidae
Description: Metazoan signal recognition particle RNA
Rfam family: Metazoan signal recognition particle RNA
About the family: The signal recognition particle (SRP) is a universally conserved ribonucleoprotein. It is involved in the co-translational targeting of proteins to membranes.
Source: Rfam by way of RNAcentral
GCCGGGUGUGGUGGCUCACACCUGUAAUCCCAGCACUUUGGGAGGCCGAGGUGGGUGGAUCACCUGAGGUCAGGAGUUCGAGACCAGCCUGGCCAACAUGGUGAAACCCCAUCUCUA